This 500-nucleotide ribosomal RNA is filed under the name uncultured bacterium. RNAcentral's name for it is "partial 16S ribosomal RNA". It matches the Rfam family "Bacterial small subunit ribosomal RNA", at positions 30 to 523 of the family's 1533-position model. The record is from RNAcentral.
AUUGAACGCUAGCGGGAUGCCUUACACAUGCAAGUCGAACGGCAGCACGGACUUCGGUCUGGUGGCGAGUGGCGAACGGGUGAGUAGCGUAUCGGAACGUGCCCAGUAGCGGGGGAUAACUACGCGAAAGCGUAGCUAAUACCGCAUACGCCCUAAGGGGGAAAGCGGGGGAUCGCAAGACCUCGCACUAUUGGAGCGGCCGAUAUCGGAUUAGCUAGUUGGUGGGGUAAAGGCCUACCAAGGCGACGAUCCGUAGCUGGUUUGAGAGGACGGCCAGCCACACUGGGACUGAGACACGGCCCAGACUCCUACGGGAGGCAGCAGUGGGGAAUUUUGGACAAUGGGGGCAACCCUGAUCCAGCCAUUUCGCGUGUGCGAUGAAGGCCUUCGGGUUGUAAAGCACUUUUGGCAGGGAAGAAAGGGCUUAGGUUAAUAGCCUAGGUUGAUGACGGUACCUGCAGAAUAAGCACCGGCUAACUACGUGCCAGCCGCUGCGGUAA